UACGGAGGGUGCGAGCGUUGUCCGGAAUCACUGGGCGGAAAGGGCGCGUAGGUGGCGCGGAAAGUCAACGGUGAAAGCUUGGGGCUCAACCCCGAGUCGGCCGUCGAUACUUCUGGGCUUGAGCACUGUAGAGGCAGGUGGAAUUCCGGGUGUAGCGGUGGAAUGCGUAGAUAUCUGGAGGAACACCGGUGGCGAAGGCGGCAUCCUGGACCGGUAGUGACGCUGAGGCGCGAAAGCCAGGGGAGCAAACGGG
Molecule: ribosomal RNA, 253 nt
Filed under: uncultured bacterium
Lineage: Bacteria
Description: partial 16S ribosomal RNA
Rfam family: Bacterial small subunit ribosomal RNA
Source: RNAcentral